RNAcentral lists this long non-coding RNA (2108 nucleotides) under Fragaria vesca (wild strawberry). RNAcentral describes it as "long non-coding RNA (FVES_LNC003449)". Lineage: Eukaryota; Viridiplantae; Streptophyta; Magnoliopsida; Rosales; Rosaceae. The record is from RNAcentral.
AAAAAACUACUAUCCACAGUACAUAACGCAAGAUAACAAGAAAUACUUUGAGUUCUGUCACAAACGUGUCUAAUGUAGUCAUCCUCUAUCGAUAUCUUUAUCCACACUAUAACCUUAUUCACUCGUUUAUCUUAUGAGUAUGCAUGAUGUUAUAAACAGAUGGCAUGUAUCACUAACAUAAUUUCAGACAUAAUUACAAUAUUAUCAUGCAUCUUCAAAUUACUGAAACAAAUUUUUGAACCUGGUUGGAUCAGAAACAAUAAUCGAGUUAAGCUUAGUGGAAGUUGCUUUCAGUUAUUGAAUACGAACUAGACCCAACACAAAAUUAUUGAUGUAUAAAAUCUUGAAUAUCUCAACCAACUCGAUCAAUCCAAGCGGCAUAGAUAGAGCACGUAUCUAUCGAGCACAAUGUGGAACAAUCGAUCACGUUUACUUGAGAGAUCGAUUCAUAAGCAUAAUAGUUGGUGUGUGACUCCACAAAUAUAUAAUUGACGAAACAAGAAUGAAGUGUAACUGUGCAAGUUACAUUUGCAAAAAGGCAACAAAUUUAAAUCUCAUUAGGUUUCUGUUAAUUUAGUAGUUAAUACUUGCAGGUCCAAGCUUAAGGGAGUUGGAACUAAUAUAUGGAUUCUGAAGAACCAAAGUGAAUAUGGAGUUGUUGCCUUGAACGCCUAAGAAAUAUUCAAGAAAUUUCUUAGUCCCAUUGUUAAGCAAACCAAUAAAGGUGCGAGUUACAUACACUGUUAAAACAGGGAUUGUGAUCGUCGUGUUCUUCUCUUUCUCAAGAAGUGAAUUGCGUGGCACCGACUAGGAUAUUUUUGAUGGACCGUGAAAUGAUUUAAGAAACACCUGUGACAUUCGACUAUCCAUUAUUACAUGUUGGUCGGCACUCCAAACAAGCCUUUGAAUUACACCGACAAAGAAAACAAAUGCUAAGCAUUUACACUUCUUUUCUAUUAGAUAUUUUUUUUGUUUUUUUUGUUGAAAGAGUUAAUUACGACUUUCAUAUAUUUAGGUAAACAGAAGGCCUGAAGUAAUCAUUACAUACUCUACCGUUAUCAUCUCCAGAUAGACAAAUAGUUAUGAGGCAUACAUCACCUAGUACAUAUGAUAAACUAUUUUUUAAUAAUCAUGCUCAUUUAUUCUGUAAGUCUAUUAUUACUUUAUACAUAGAAAAAUAGGCUAAUGUUUUAAAAUAGAAAAACUAAAAAAGGAAGAAAAAAAACCCAGUAGGGUCAAACCCAAUUUGCUAAGGCCCAAGGAAACCCUGGCAAAAUUGAUGUUAGUAACGUAGCUGUCGCCGUCAACGUAGACUGCAACAACCAAGUCAUCGACGCCGACGUCGUAUCCUCCUUCGUCUCCGCCACAAGCGCUAGCCUUGCCGUUUCUGCAGUUGACCCGAGCAUCACCGCUACCAUCCAAAGUUCCAUACGUUGCUUCCACACUCCAUGGCUUCAUACCAACAACACCAAUUCCAAUCAGCUGUUAAAUUGGUUUCAGAUCUAGGAGAAAACCUAGAUAAGAAAACACCAUAGAUGUUUUCGCUAGGGAAGGGGGAAGCCUUCGCUUGGACCUUCACUUCAGUUAUGCUUAUGGUGAAGAGAUGAGAGGCACCAGAGGUUGAUCGGAUUGGUGAUGGCAGUUGAUAGAUUGCCGCGCAUAGACAUCAAGAGGCAAACAAUGAAGAUCUGCAUAGUGAUUGUGAUUUGCACCAUUGAUUGAGCCCCGAGUCAUGACGCCAAUGUUUGGUAGAGAGGAAAAGGAGAGAGCCAUUGUUGGCACCAGAAAUGGUAUGGGUCCACAAUAAGAUUGUUAUGCAGGUUCAUGUUAAUAAAAAUCUAGGAACAGCUAAGGUAUGAAAACUAAUGAGUUGGGUAUACAUGGUAAGAAAAUACAUUUUACCUCUUCAUUAAUUUGAUAAUGACACACUCCGUAACGGAUGAGUUAACGUUAUGUACUUUCUCUUAUUUGCAUAUUGUUGACAAUAUAGUCGACAAUAUAGUCAAUCGUUUUAACCGUUUAAAAGUUGAAUUGGUCAAUAAAAAUCAUCUAUGUAAAAAAUAAAUGAACAAAAUUCGUUUGCUUAACCGAUUGCAUCAAUCAAAUUG